GACGUAGGUGGCGAACGUUAUCCGGAAUUAUUGGGCGUAAAGGGUGCGUAGAUGGCCUGAUAAGUUAGCAGUGGGAAAUCGAGGCUCAACCUCGUGGAAGCUGGUAAUACUGUCAGGCUCGAGUGCAGGAGAGGUUAACGGAACUCCAUGUGGAGCGGUAAAAUGUGUAGAUAUAUGGAAGAACACCAACGGCGAAAGCACUCUGCUGGGCCGACACUGACACUGAGAGACGAAAGCUAGGGGAGCGAAUGGG
This 253-nucleotide ribosomal RNA is filed under the name uncultured bacterium. RNAcentral describes it as "partial 16S ribosomal RNA". It matches the Rfam family "Bacterial small subunit ribosomal RNA", at positions 524 to 776 of the family's 1533-position model. The record is from RNAcentral.